Molecule: ribosomal RNA, 109 nt
Filed under: Escherichia coli
Lineage: Bacteria; Pseudomonadati; Pseudomonadota; Gammaproteobacteria; Enterobacterales; Enterobacteriaceae
Source: RNAcentral
GGCGGCCUUAGCGCGGUGGUCCCACCUGACCCCAUGCCGAACUCAGAAGUGAAACGCCGUAGCGCCGAUGGUAGUGUGGGGUCUCCCCAUGCGAGAGUAGGGAACUGCC